Molecule: transfer RNA, 72 nt
Filed under: Camelus bactrianus (Bactrian camel)
Lineage: Eukaryota; Metazoa; Chordata; Mammalia; Artiodactyla; Camelidae
Also listed under: 3 other names
Rfam family: tRNA
About the family: Transfer RNA (tRNA) molecules are approximately 80 nucleotides in length. Their secondary structure includes four short double-helical elements and three loops (D, anti-codon, and T loops). Further hydrogen bonds mediate the characteristic L-shaped molecular structure. tRNAs have two regions of fundamental functional importance: the anti-codon, which is responsible for specific mRNA codon recognition, and the 3' end, to which the tRNAs corresponding amino acid is attached (by aminoacyl-tRNA synthetases). tRNAs cope with the degeneracy of the genetic code in two manners: having more than one tRNA (with a specific anti-codon) for a particular amino acid; and 'wobble' base-pairing, i.e. permitting non-standard base-pairing at the 3rd anti-codon position.
Source: Rfam by way of RNAcentral
GAGGGUGGAGCUCAGUGGCAGAGCACAUGCUCAGUAUGCACAAGGUCCUGGGUUCAAUCCCCAGUGCCUCCA